GAUGAACGCUGGCGGCGUGCCUAAUACAUGCAAGUCGAGCGAAUGGAUUAAGAGCUUGCUCUUAUGAAGUUAGCGGCGGACGGGUGAGUAACACGUGGGUAACCUGCCCAUAAGACUGGGAUAACUCCGGGAAACCGGGGCUAAUACCGGAUAACAUUUUGAACCGAAUGGUUCGAAAUUGAAAGGCGGCUUCGUCUGUCACUUAUGGAUGGACCCGCGUCGCAUUAGCUAGUUGGUGAGAUAACGGCUCACCAAGGCAACGAUGCGUAGCCGACCUGAGAGGGUGAUCGGCCACACUGGGACUGAGACACGGCCCAGACUCCUACGGGAGGCAGCAGUAGGGAAUCUUCCGCAAUGGACGAAAGUCUGACGGAGCAACGCCGCGUGAGUGAUGAAGGCUUUCGGGUCGUAAAACUCUGUUGUUAGGGAAGAACAAGUGCUAGUUGAAUAAGCUGGCACCUUGACGGUACCUAACCAGAAAGCCACGGCUAACUACGUGCCAGCCGCCGCGGUUAA
This 516-nucleotide ribosomal RNA is filed under the name uncultured bacterium. RNAcentral's name for it is "partial 16S ribosomal RNA". It matches the Rfam family "Bacterial small subunit ribosomal RNA", at positions 28 to 524 of the family's 1533-position model. The record is from RNAcentral.